AUUAAUAAAAUUUCAUAACAUGAGUUCAAAUAGCAAGUGUGGAAAAAUAUAAGCCCGACAUCAGGGUGUCACAAGUCACGAGCAUCUACUAAGGACUGUUUGAAUACAACUAAGACUAUCACAAUCUGGAAAAUACUAAUAUAGUCUAAGGAAGAUAAGAGGGAGAAGAGUAAGGUUACGAUCGUCAUCCAACUGCCUUGCCGACUCCGGAUAUCUGCGACGGAUAAAGGAUCAACACUCACUAUCACGACCCACAACUCCUAGAUCUGCACACAAGAUAUAUGGAGUAAUGUGAGUACGCUAACUCGGUAAGUAAUAAAAGUAAAUAAAGUCUGAGCAGUAAAAAAUACAUAAAUCCACGUCAUAACACCAUAGUAAGUAGAGUAUGUUUCCAAAAUAGUAUAUAGAUCAAAUCAUCUCGUUAAAAUCCAAAUUUAGAAAAAAUCCUUUGAAAAUAUCUUUCUAACAGUUUCAACAGAGGUUCAAUGAAGUUUAUAGUAAAAAUGAUGAAACAUAAAUAGCAUGUAUCAUAAACUGCCCCGCGGGCAUAACAUCUCUCAGAAUCAGCCCCUCGGGCAAUAUCACAAUCGCUCGUAAUCAGCCCCUCGGGCACAACAUGAAUCAAGAACAGCCUUUUGGGAAACAUCAUGCCACUCACUUAGGGUACCCGCACUUACUGGGGUGUACAGACUCCGAAGAGGCUUCUACAGCCCAAGCGAUAUAACAAGCCAUCUCUUGUCAUAAUAAAUUAGGCCCAUGGCCUCUCAUAUAUCACAAAUUAGUUCAACAUGCUGCGGCAUGCAGCCGAUCCCAUAAUAUUCUCACAACACAGGCCAUCGUCCUCACUCAGUCAGAAUCCUCUCAAGCCACACGAGCUAUCAAUAAAAUAGGGUGCUCAACCCAAAAUAUUAUUCUAUGGAUCAAAUUAGAAUAAAUAAUAGCAUGACUGAAUAUAGAUAUUAAAUCAAGACAUAGAGGAAUAAUAGUAAAAAUCCUGUAAGGGUCCAAACAUCUUGGCACGAAGCCUAUGGCAUUCAACCCAAAACAUAGUAAUACUUUCUAAAACACAUAAAUAUCCAAUAGUUUCUAGUAAAAUACGCAACUUAAUAGUCGCUAUGGACGGACCGAGUCCCAAUUCCCAACUGCGACGCCCUCACACUCAUUGUCUAGCAUAUGUGUCGCCUCAAAAUAGUGAAACGAUGUGAAAUUCGGGGAUUCAUACCCCCAGUACAAGAUUUACAGUCAUUACAUACCUCAAAUCGAAAAAACACUCUUACAUGCGAUGCCCUUGCCUCUUGACUCGCCAUCUAAAAGCUUUGAAUCUAACCACAAGAAUAUAUUAUCAUCAAUAUACGCUAAAUGAAUGAAUUCCACACGAAUAUAAUCAAAUUAGACCAAGCAUCUUGAAUCAAACUCAAAUUCGGCUCCCGAGCCCACGUCUCGGAAUCCAACAAAAAUCACAAAACUAGAAACUCCUUUCACUCCCCAGUCUAUACAUAUAAAAACCAUAAUAAUCGGACUUCAAAUGGAUCCUCAAAUCCCCAAUCAAAGCUCUCCAAUACUCAAGCCCUAACAUUCAACUUCACCCCAAAUUCCCCGAUAAUUUCAUGAUUAGGUAGUGGAAAAAUCAUCACAAACACAAAAUACAAAGCCCAAGUAUCUUGCCUCACCAAAACCUCUUGAUUCCCUCUUGGAAUCACUGCUUGGAGCUCCAAAAUCGUCCAAAAAUGAUGGAAGAUGGACUAAAAUUUGCAAAGGAGAUCUUAUAUACUUUUUGCGCAGAACUUCUGCAUCUGCGGUCCAUAAGUCGCUUCUACGACGUUGCACUUGCAGAAAAUCCAUCGCAGGUGCGGUUUUCAGUUAACCCUCAAAAACCGCUUCUAAGGUCAAGAUCCCACAUCUGCGAUCUCGCAGGUGUGGCCCAUGUGCGCACAUGUGGUUCCAGCUUCCGUGGCCUUGGCCGCUUCUGCAGCUGCUCCCUUCAUUCUGUGGAUCUUACACCUGCGGUCCCCACUUCGUGAGUGCGGUUAUGACAGUUGAAGGAAUUCUUCAGCACUUCCUCAAAUCCCAUCCUUGAUCGGUCAACCUCCUGAAAUCAACCCGAGGCCCUUAAGACCUAAACCAAACAUAUGAAUAAGUCACAUACCACCAUUCAAACUUAUUUCGAACUUUGGAACACUGAAAACAACAUCAAAAUGCCAAAUCACCCUCGAAUUCAAGUCUAAGGAUUUCCAAAACUUCGAAUUCCACAAACGUUGCCAAAACCUAUCAAACCUUAUUCGAAUGACCUAAAAUUUUGCACACAUGUCACAAAUGACACAAAGGACUUACUCCUAUUUCUAGAAUUCCAUUUCGACCCUAAUAUCAAGAUUUUCACUCCCGGGCGGAAAAUACCUAAUUUUCAAUUUUGCUAAUUCAAGCCUAAAUCUACCACGGACCUCCAAAUUAUAUUCCGAACAUGCUCCUAAGUCCAAAAUCACCUGAUGAAGCUAUUCGAACUAUCAAAAUUCACAUACGAGACCUUUUACACAUAAGUUAACAGCCAAAAGACCUUUUCCACUUAAGUUUUCGAAUAAGAGACAUAAGUAUCCCUUGCCUCUCCAAGACCACUCCGAACAUACAACAACCAAUACGAUAUGAUGAAAUACAAUUGAACAACACAUAAAGAAGUAGAAAUAAGGGAAACGGGGCUGUAACUCAUGAAAUGACUGGCAGAGUUGUUACAUCUAUCUUCUAUUAGUUGAAAUUCCGGGAUAUUUUUCAAAUCUUUAUUGGUAAAAAGCCUACCAAUGAUUAGUAAGGUUCAAGAUUUUAUAGGUUCAAGGUUUCUCAGAGUUUAACAUACGAUACCUUGUCUUGUACUCCAGGAUAUAAUCGUGGAGUUUUUUACACCUCCUUUUUCCCCCAAGGGAAUAAGGCGUUUUUUUAUUAAAGUAAUGUUAUCGAAAUGAGAUAAUUUAAUAAUCAGAGUCACCACUUGAGAUAACUAUUAAGAUGUCCCAAUUCACCAAUUUAUUUUGAAUACCAAAUCGAGGAAGUUGACUCUUAUAUAUGGUCGAACACAGAACUCCGGGUAAGAAAUUCUGUUAACCUAGGAGAAAGUGUGAGGCAUUUUCGGGUUUUGUGAUUUUAGUACGGUCGCUCAACUAUUAAUAAUUGGCCUGAUUAUCUGAUUAAUUAUAUAGAACCUAUUGCGCAUUUUAUCUUCUAACCUCCUUUAAUUAUUUAAUCAACCAGUUUUAGUAGAAUUUUAUCUGCCUUUAGGAUUUAUGGAAUUUGUUUGAACAAGUGGAAAUAUAGCGCACUCAUUUGUUUUUGUACACAUUAUGAAUCGCGUCACAUAAAAUGCGCCCGCGAUCCACAACAUGUUAAUUUUAUUAUUGUUUGAAAUUGUGGACGAUUCACAUGAAAAGAACACUCAAAUUUGGAUUUAUGUAUCGCAACUAUCCCACGGUUACCGUAUCCAUAGUCACGAGGAUUAUUUUAUUAAUCCUGCCUAAAGCAAGAUACGGUGUUCAUAUGUUAUUUGUCUCCUACAUUUGAGAUUAUUGUGAGGCCAUAAGUUAUGGAAGAGAGUUGUUGGGGCAAAGGCUUAGUCGUUUUAUUCUGCCAAAGAACUUUAUGUAUCGAGAAAGGUUUCAGCAUUUAGAUUGAUAUUGGAUAAUCGUGAAUGAAACAUAUAUUGAGAAACUACUUGUUCGAACCAAGCACUUUAACAAAUUGAAAAGAGGCAUAUUAAUUAAACUAUUACUAUCAAAAGAAAUGAAUAUAUUAACUAAUCAUCACCCUAGUGUGUCCAGGCUUAAAGCAUUGGGCUUAAAACCCUAGCCCAGAGACCUGGUGUCCGUACUUGCUUAACCAAAACCCAGCUUGGCCGAUUUGAAAGUCCAAACCACUUCCCGUAAGUGCCCUGAUGGAAUAGGUUCUAAAAAAAUAAUAGUACACAUUUGAAAUCUUCAAAAUUAGGCACAAUGAACUUAAAUCGGAAUAUGUAAAGCUAAAUAAGGGAUUAAAUUUACAAAUAUCGCCAAUUCUAUAGCUACUGUUCACAGUAUGACGAUUUUACAACAAUAGCCAAAUCCCAACCCACACUUUCAUUUCAUUCUUCACAUUCUUUCAAUGAGACCUUGCCUUUAUCACCUAUUGGUUAUAUCAUUUCUUCUUGAGCCGACUUUAAUUCAUAAUCACAAGUAUAAAGGUGUUAUCAUUAAAUCACACAAAACACCCGAGUUAAUUCUAGAACCAUAUGAGCUCAAUGGAUUUUGAUACUUCAUGCUUUAAACAUUACUUGACUCCUAACAUCAGGAAUUGCAUAAGAAAACUAAAGAUCACAUUCAUUAUGAAACUAAAACUAUCAUUUGAAUAGCACGUUAUAGCAACUCAAUCAAAGAUAGACCAGUCUAACAAUUGAAAAACAACACACGAAAUCAGAUGUAAACACAGCCAAAUCAUUCGACUCUUCAUUAGCACAUUCAAAUAGAGUUACAAAUGGAGUUUUACAUACCUAGAAGCAAAAUCAAUAGAUGAAGUUGAAAAAUAAGAAUCAGAGAUGGAAGUGAAGAUCCAACAAGCAAUACAACAACAAGCUCACAAUCAAACAAAACAGUUCCACAGCUUGAAAGCAAUUCAAAAUCCUAGAAAGAGGGUGAUGCAAAAAACUAGUAAAAAUUGAAGAGCCAAAUAACUUUCGUAUUUUUUUUCUAUCUAUUUUUGAAAGGAACCUAAAUUUCAAAGAGAAUUUUUUGUGUCAAAUUCCGUGUGAGAAUGAGAAGAGGAAUUCCUUUUUUAUAGAAUGUGAGCACGUGUACAUGAUAGGGAAUGAGAGAGAGAUUAAAAGGAAUCUGUCAGCCCCUUAAUUUUAGGGGAAAUAGCAUUUUAACAAAAGAAAUGGACAACUGUCUAAUUUCUAAAUAUUUUUUCUCAUUCUCAGCUCUUUUCUUAACAAAUUAGGACAACUUUCCCUUUCUAAAAACUUCUUUAUUCCCAAAAACUUUUAAACUUUUUAAAUUUUAAUUUUUACCCCAAGUUUUGAAUUUAUUUCCCAUUUUAAUGUAUUUUCAACCAAACAAAACAAAUUCCUUUGUUUUUUAAUUUCUUAGACUCCUGAAUUUCAGUAAUUACAAACAACUAUCACAAAAACUCAGAUGAAUUAAAAAUCAUAGCACAACAAGCAAUAUUCAACUUUUAACCUAUUUUAGGUAAUUAAACAAAUUCAACAUGCAAUUAACUAAUUAAAAUCACUUUAAAGGAAUUAAAACCGACUGCUAUGCUUUUAAAAUAUUGGCCUAAUCACAUAAUUGAUGAAUUUAAAAUCUCAACUAAUCUAAAACAUGCUAAACAUACGAAAAGGCAUACUAGCAGUAAACAUAUUGAUCACCCUUAGAAUAACUAUCAAUUGAUUGAUUUUAACAAAAGUUGAAGCAAAUACUAAAACAUGUUGUUAAUUUUGAAAUAAACCUAGUAUCUAACAUGUAACACAAUGUCAACCUAUGCACCUAAAAUAAUCAGUAAUCAAAGAAAUGAAAAGAAGAUUACCCCUUGUCGAAAAGGUUGGCCCAAAAAAAGAUAUCCGGCUAACAACCCGCAAAAGGAGCCGACAUUAUGGAGAUUCGAUAGAUGGCCCCGACAUAAAUUAAAUUAACAUAAAUAGAUUGCUCUUGUCAAAGCAAUAGAUUUGUGUGAGUUUGAAACAAAAUCGACUCGACUUAACGAGAAAAAACAACAAAAGCUUGAUCUAGGAUUUUUGGGAUUCUAUGAUUUGAAAUUCUUGGAGCUUGGGUAGUUUUCUGGGGAAAUUAGUGAGACUGGGGACGAGGGUGGCAUGGAGAUUGUAAGGUGUUAAUUUAGGGGUGUUUGGGGGUUGUGUCGCCGCUGUAGGCGAUUUCCAGCGGCGAUAUAAAGCUGAGGGUGAGAGAGGGAGACGAGAGGGGUAUGGGCUGGGUUUCUAUGGUUUUCGGGAGGGGGGAUCUUAAAGAAAUUUAUGGGAGGGUAGCAUUGAGUUGUGAACCGUUAGAUCUAAGAUAAUCAAUAGUGGGGAUUACGCGUU
Molecule: long non-coding RNA, 6046 nt
Filed under: Nicotiana benthamiana
Lineage: Eukaryota; Viridiplantae; Streptophyta; Magnoliopsida; Solanales; Solanaceae
Description: long non-coding RNA (NBEN_LNC040186)
Source: RNAcentral